CAGGCCGAAGUGCAGGGGCACAGUCUUGCCUCACUGCAACCUCUGCCUCCCAGGUGCAAGUGAUUCUCAAGCCUCAGCCUCCCAAAUGGCUGGGAUUACAGGCAACCACAUUAUUGUUGAAACAAGACUACAAAGAAGGAGAAAUGAUGUUGAAGUCAGCACUGGCUUUAGCUAUCAAAGUGCUAAAUAAGACCAUGGAUGUUAGUUAACUGUUUGCUGAGAAAGUGGAAAUUGCAACACUAACAAGAAAGAAUGAAAAGAUGGUAAUCAGAAGUUCUCAAACAAAAAGAAGUUGAACAGUUGAUCAAAAAACAUGAGGAAGAAGAAGCUAAAGCUGGGCCUGAGAAGAAAGAAAAAGAACAGAAAGAAAAGGAUAAAUAGACAAAAUCAGAGAUUCGGUUACUCAUUUGGGGCACCGUUUCUGUGUAAAAGCUGUCCUGCUCUUCCAAACUAAGAAGGCUUUGACUUUUUUUAACUGGUACAGUGGGAAACUAGGACAUUACAUACUGAAUUGGGUCUUUAUCAUUACUGUUUAAAUACUUUAUUGUAAUGAUGAGGGUCACUUUCUGUGGACAUCUUAAUCUUCCACACACAUCCCCCUUUUUUGGAAUAAAAUUUGGAAAAUAGAAAUGAAGGAAUAAAUUCUUCUGUAGCAGCAAUUGUUACAUAUACAAAACUGACAGGGCGAGUAUCUUCUUUUCGUGCUUUACGCACACUGUGGCUUACACUCCUUUCCCGAAAGGGCACAUUCGUCAGGCUGGCCAGAUUAUUCAUCUCUGUCUCCAGGGAUUGGUUUGAGGAUGAACACGUGGGCUGAGCAAAGCCAGGAUUGAUGUGUGGAUAUGAGGAUCUCGCAGCUAGGACUGAGGCUGCCCACCAAGCUGCAUGGAAGAUGAGGUGUAGGAGAAGUUAAGACCACAGAGGAAAAGUGAAACCAAGAGAUGAGAACCAUUACUGUUGGCUGAAGAGAGCUCCGUUGCUGGGUUUUUUUUCAACAUGAGUUCCCUUGGGAUUCUGUGGCUUCGUGAUAGAAGUGAUACAGGGCAGUGCUACUUAACAUGUAGCCAUAGUGCUCGAGCAUCACCUGCACAGAUUCUGGUGUCCCAUCUGAGAUCUGCGUUAAUACCUCUGAGGGUGGAA
Molecule: non-coding RNA, 1140 nt
Organism: Callithrix jacchus (white-tufted-ear marmoset)
Lineage: Eukaryota; Metazoa; Chordata; Mammalia; Primates; Cebidae
Source: RefSeq, a predicted model, not a curated record